UUUCCGUAGGUGAACCUGCGGAAGGAUCAUUAUUGUAUAACCGAGAUGCGAGGGCUGUCGCUGACCCGAAAGGUCGUGCACGCCCGAGUGCCCUCACACACAUCCAUCUCACCCCUAUGUGCACCACCGCGUGGGUCCCCCUUUGGCUUGCUCGGGGGGGGGCUUACGUUUUCACACAAACUUUGUAUGCAGUGUAGAAUGUAUUUUUUGUUUUUGCGAUCACGCAAUCAAUACAACUUUCAACAACGGAUCUCUUGGCUCUC
Molecule: unclassified non-coding RNA, 263 nt
Filed under: plant metagenome
Description: partial contains small subunit ribosomal RNA, internal transcribed spacer 1, and 5.8S ribosomal RNA
Source: RNAcentral